RNAcentral lists this ribosomal RNA (254 nucleotides) under uncultured bacterium. RNAcentral's name for it is "partial small subunit ribosomal RNA". It matches the Rfam family "Bacterial small subunit ribosomal RNA", at positions 26 to 285 of the family's 1533-position model. The record is from RNAcentral.
AGGACGAACGCUGGCGGCGUGCUUAACACAUGCAAGUCGAGCGGAAAGGCCCUUCGGGGUACUCGAGCGGCGAACGGGUGAGUAACACGUGGGUAACCUGCCCUUAGCUCUGGGAUAGCUCCGGGAAACCGGGAUUAAUACCAGAUACGACCACUUUAGACAUCUUUAGUGGUGAAAAGAAUUUCGGCUAGGGAUGGGCUCGCGGCCUAUCAGCUUGUUGGUGAGGUAACGGCUCACCAAGGCGACGACGGGUA